GACCAACGCUUGGUCGGGCCAUCUGGCAUGCAAAAUCUUUUGAGCGCCCCUUCUUUGCUCGGCCCGGGAAAAAUUUGGCUCUCAGAUUUUCCGAAAUCCCCACCCCAAGUCCCUUCGGACCAUUCCACCACGCGCAUUGCCCUAGAUUUUUCCUUUCUCCCCCACGGCGCCGCCACUCUCCACCUCCGCCCCCACGCCGCCGCUCAUCUCCACCGUCGCCCCCACACGCGGCCUACUUCUACCACGGGCCACCGUGCCACCACAUGUGCUCGACCGCCGCCGCCCCCAUCGUUCCUCUCCACCGCAGUCCGCGUCCUGCCUCUCACCGCUGCUACUCUUCCUCCCUGCCGCCACAAGAGUUGGACCACCACCCCGCCCUUUCCCCUCCUUGAGGUGGUUGUUCGCCAUCCCAAUUCCCUCAGGGCUGGGGUCGUGUGCUGGGAAUGGGUGUUGGUGGGGUGUUUGUGAAGCAACUGGGGGAUGAAGGGAUCUAGAUAAGAUUCUUGAUGAACUGAAUAAUUUCGCUCUUCUUUGUUUUGGGCAGAGAGCCAUUAUUAGCCCAUGUCCAGCAAAUGUUUGUUGAAAUGCUUGAACAACCAAAAAACUUCAUUCUUGCAUGAUUUUUUAUCCGCCUCUUCAGGAAAAUGAAUGCUAAUGAAGCCAUUUUAUGUUUCUCGGUGUCAUCUUGACAGAAAUUGAGCAGAUAAUGAAAAGAAGUGAUGUAAGCAGACCCCUUUCUUUUGUAUUAUUCUGGAGUAUAGCUAUUUCUGGUUGCAUACUAGUAUUUUUCUCCUGCAAAUUCUUCAGCUCAUAUUUUAGAAUAUAGUGCUUUCUUCUCCACCAAAGUCUAUUGUGUACUCAUGUUCAGUAUUUGUUUUGACUUGAUAAUAGUAGAAAGGAAAGACAGCAGUAAGGAUACUAAUUGUGGUAAUUUUUUUCUUCAGGAGGCAACAACACGGGCAUCUUCUUUGUGAGACCAUCUACUACCUCCAUGUGUUUCUGGUUAUGUUAUUGUUGUAGCAAGAGUUACUAUGGAAUCACUAGUAAUUAAGUGAUGAUUUUUGCAGGAGUUACUAUGGUACAGAACAAUACUUGAGUAUAUAUUUUUGCAGGAGUUACUAUGGUUCAGAACAAUACUUGAGUACAGAACAAUACUUCUGUUUGCCAUGUAACCACUUUCAUGCACUUUGAUAGACUAAUGUAUCCAUGUCAUGCAAUUUGCUUUGUAAUGACUGAUCAAUUCCUUUAGUUCUGAUGGGUCUACUUGUUCUGUACAGCUAGAAAAUGUGGUUAGUUUCUCAAAAAAAAGAAAAUGUGGUUAGUAGAAAAUGCACGGCUACUGUUCUGUAGAAGUACAUUAAUUAGUACAAAAAAAGAGAGUAGCAUCUUUUGAAAGUAAAAUAAUUAAGUAGUUCUGCUACUAUUAUGUUUUUGUUGGAUUCGUUUAUUAGUGUUGAUUAAUAUGCUUAUGUGCUAAUCAUUAAUGUCCUCCAACUUCUAACUUAUUAUUUUUCUUUGUUAUUAGUUUUGUAGAUCCAACAGACUAUGAUCUAUCGAGACAUGUUUGUCUUUUGUAGGAAGGAAAUACACAAGAGAACAUAGUAGCCGGUGGUUCACAUCAAGAUUGCACAAUGGAGGAUUGAUGUUGGAGAUGAAGCUUUUAGCUAUCAUUUUGUAAAACCGGAUCAGUAUGAACUUACAGUCCCUAGUUUUUGCUCUAUCUUGGUAGUAGUGAACUUAGAUGAUGUUUCAUGCACAGUUUGUAAAUGCAAUGAAUUAAUGUACCAUAUUAUCAGUUGAUUUAAUAAUAUGCAUGUUGUUAA
This is a long non-coding RNA of Brachypodium distachyon (stiff brome), 1823 nucleotides long. RefSeq lists it as uncharacterized. NCBI's taxonomy places the organism in Eukaryota, Viridiplantae, Streptophyta, Magnoliopsida, Poales, Poaceae. The record is from RefSeq and is a predicted model, not a curated record. The transcript has 2 exons.